RNAcentral lists this ribosomal RNA (490 nucleotides) under uncultured bacterium. RNAcentral describes it as "partial 16S ribosomal RNA". It matches the Rfam family "Bacterial small subunit ribosomal RNA", at positions 30 to 507 of the family's 1533-position model. The record is from RNAcentral.
AUUGAACGCUGGCGGCAGGCCUAACACAUGCAAGUCGAACGGUAACAGGAAGCAGCUUGCUGCUUCGCUGACGAGUGGCGGACGGGUGAGUAAUGUCUGGGAAACUGCCUGAUGGAGGGGGAUAACUACUGGAAACGGUAGCUAAUACCGCAUAACGUCGCAAGACCAAAGAGGGGGACCUUAGGGCCUCUUGCCAUCGGAUGUGCCCAGAUGGGAUUAGCUAGUAGGUGGGGUAACGGCUCACCUAGGCGACGAUCCCUAGCUGGUCUGAGAGGAUGACCAGCCACACUGGUACUGAGACACGGUCCAGACUCCUACGGGAGGCAGCAGUGGGGAAUAUUGCACAAUGGGCGCAAGCCUGAUGCAGCCAUGCCGCGUGUAUGAAGAAGGCCUUCGGGUUGUAAAGUACUUUCAGCGGGGAGGAAGGGAGUAAAGUUAAUACCUUUGCUCAUUGACGUUACCCGCAGAAGAAGCACCGGCUAACUCCGUG